GUAGUCCUCGCUGCCGCCGGGGCCCCCGGAGUCCGACCGGGUCAGACUCAGGAGUGUCGCCGGUUUCGCGUGGUUUUCCGCGGGCUUCCCGCUGCGCCCGCUCCCCGACCAGCCGUGCGGACGCGCCUCCCGGGCGCAUGCGCCGUUCUGCGCGUGGGGCAGCCCAGCGUUCGCGCGCCGGCUCCGCCCCCUCCGGCGCAUGUGCGGUCCCCGGGAGCCGCGUGGUGGUGCGCAGGGCGCGGGUCUCGGCGGCAGCGGGCGAGCGCCGGGACCGCGGAGGCCACGCUGUGGGUGCAGUUGUCCGUUCGUCCCCCGGGGAUGCCAUUGACUGCAGCAGCCUCAGGCUUGCGUGGGCUGUCUCUGCCUGGCCUCCCUCUCCUCGCGGCGCGGGAGCGCAGAGGGACAGGCGGAGUGCAUACUGGCUGUGGACAGGAGCUGCUGAAGCUGGAGAGGCUAGAGAAUGUUAAAGAAGAAAUGGAAGGCCAUCCGGCUGGCAGCUGCCUUCUGCUGCAGGCAAGAGAGACCCUGCCUCUCUGCUUCCGGAAGGAUCCCUCUUCAUAGUCCACAGCAGGUCAGACCGCCAACGUGCACCACAGGGUGGAGGACAGUCAAGAGACAGGAGUUACAGAAGAGGAAGGGAAGAGAGAAGGAGAAAGAAAUGUCUGAACUGGCAAAGGCUUCUGGCAGUGCCGAGAGCAAGAGCUGUGUGUCACCUUCCGCAUCACACGAAGAAAAUCCUGCGUGGGUAAUUCCGCUUGCUGCUCAGAGUGUUGAUGGCAUGUUGUCCCGUGGCACAAUCCCCAUUCUGUUCAGCGGAGUCUUCAGUCUAGGACUUCUAAGUAAAAAAAGUUUGUCCUUCCAAAAAAGGACUAGUCAUUCAUCGGACCGAGGCAUAGACUUGGAGAGUUGCUUAAGUACGUGA
This 922-nucleotide long non-coding RNA is filed under the name Aquila chrysaetos chrysaetos. RNAcentral's name for it is "lncRNA (ENSACCG00020016074.1)". The record is from RNAcentral. Lineage: Eukaryota; Metazoa; Chordata; Aves; Accipitriformes; Accipitridae.